GCAAUGGGCCAGGGCCGUCCCCCAAUCCGGCUGGGCUGAGUCAUGUGGGCAGGCAGGUGGAAAAUCCCAGCUGGGGACAGGCACCGCGUCUUCUGGGUCCUCGUACAGCUCACCCCCUGGUCUCCUGCUCCCCCCAGCUCUCCAGAGAUGGCAGAACCUCAAGGAGGAGCCAGCUGUGUGAGCCACUGGGGCCAAGAGAGAGGACACCACAGCGCCUCGUGAGGAGCUGGAAGCAGGCAACUCAGCCAGAGAUGACCCAGGUGGCUGCCUCCUGGGACCGGCGGACACCAGGCCAGUCCACGUGGCUCUUGCCACUGCGCCCCAGCUUGUGCUAAUGCAGACACUGAGCACUCGCGAGUGAAGGAGUGUGCGGGCAUCCACUCUGAGCUGCACCUCUCUCCAAACAACACACAGUGCUGCCGUCACGCUCAGCAGGACGAGGACUCUGGGCGGCUUCCUGCAUGGCCCAGUGCUCCCUGUCUCAACUGGCUUGAGGUCUCCUUGCUUCACUUCUCUCCUUCCCCCACGUGUGUGUUUGGUCGAGGAAACCUGCGUCCAGAGCGCACAGACGUCCCUGCCUUCGCUGUGGGUGCCGUGGCCUCGUGCCAUUGGAGCUGACCCGGCUCCCAGGUCCUGUCUGCAGGUGUGCCUGCUCAGCACAUUUACACCAGCGGACCACACAGCGUGGGCCUCGCGUCCAGCUUCCAGUCCACUGCAGCCAGUCUGGGCAGGUGACCACCAUUGCACGGACACUGGGUGCUUCCUCUGAAGUCACUGGCCACUGAGAGGAGGCCCUCAUCACCUGGACCACGAAUCCACAGGGAGCACAGGCCAUGCUGAACUCCAGGUGGCCUUGUGGCAGGUCCACCCUGUCCUCCCCUCGCCCCGCCUCUCCUUGUCGGGAACCUCCCUGCCCUAUCCCUGGCUGCUCCGUCCCAGUUCACCCCAGGGUGCUGCAAACGUUCUCCUGUGCAUGGAUCAUAUUCUUGUCAAGAAGAGAAAGAACGGAAGGAGCCUGUUCCGCUGCGGGUGGGUCGGCUGCGGAGGCUGCCCCCCCAGGGUCUGUUAGAGGAGUCUUUACUUGACUCUGGUUGGUUCUGUGUGCAUCGAACUCGUGGGCCUCACAUCGUCACCAAAUGAGACUCGGCCCACCCUCUCUGGUCCAGGAUUGUGCAGCACCCUGAGCCUGCUGGGGUCUGGCCCAAACAGUCUGCUGACAUGAAAACCUGACGGGAAGCAGGACCCAGCCCUGGCGCUUCCCUCCCGCCUCUGGCUGUGGGUCCUCGGGCCUUGCUUCUGCUCAUGCCACUCAGCAGCUGCGCCACACACUGGGGACUCGUCUCUCUGUGAGCCCGCUUGGUCAGCCCGGCAACAGGGACCAAGGACUCCCACAGGUGCCCCCUCUGAAGCCUGUGUUAAAACUGGCCCAGUGGCCUCCAUGUAGAAGCAGUGGGCAGCGUGUGCCCCGGAGGAGGCCGGGCCUUCCUUUCUGAAAGCCCCCGGGUGCUCUCAUGGUCAGCCAGAGCCCAAGGCUGAGAACAGGGACCCUGAAGGCAAAACUGGCACACUUCCUGUCCGGCUUUGUUUGAGCGGCUAAGAAAUGGUGUACCAAGGCCAGGAGCUUGGGUUCCAGGGUCGGCAGGCUGGCCUGUGGGGUCGGGGUCAUGGGGGCAUCCUGUGCAUCCCAUGGGCCACGCAGACCUUAUAGCCGUUCAGACAGGACAAGGACUGAAACUCCCCGCCUCAGGGUCACGCCCCUCCCCGGCCCACUGCCCCUCUGUGUACUGUAGCCUGGGUCCACGUCUCCCGAGGGUGGCCUCAGGGGCCUGGGGUGAGCAUGGGGCGGACUGCUGGCGGCUCCAGAGCCCCGAGCCAGCCCUCAUCUAGGUCCUUGACUCCUCGAGGCCUCAGUUCUCCUGGCUGGAAAAUGAAGGAGCUGGACUCUAAAGUCUCUGUCUCUGCUAACACCUUCUGAAGUUUUCCACUUGUGUCCUGAGAACCCGGGGUACCCGGCAGCUCAGAGAGCCCAGGGGCUGGUCCUGGCAGGGGUCUCACUCCCUUUCUGCUGGUGUUGGACCCUGUGAAGUCCUCGAGUCCCUGUCACUAGCCUCUGGGCAAUGCUUUGUGGGAUCUGGUCAAGCCUGAGCCUCCUUAGGGCCCUCAUUGGAGUCCCUGGGGCAGUGCCUCUCUGAGCCAGCAGAGGGCGGCAGUGCCCCAGCUGAGCCCAGCCAGGCCUAGGGAGAGGCCAAGGUGUCCCACUGCGUGCACUGAAACUUCCGGAGACUGGGACUCCCCUGAGCCAGAGGAGCCAGGAGGUCUCGGAUUGGCUGUGUCCCCCACCGCCCUGGCUGGGCACCCUAAGGUCCCAGAAAGCUAGACUGGAGGGGAGCUGGGCCUCGGCAUCCUCCUGCAGGCCCUGCGUAGGUGGGGGUGGCGCCGGGUGCAAGGCUGGGGAGGCCCUAGUGUGGCAGGUGCUCAAGUGCCUGGGGGAGCCAUAGGCAUGAGUCCCUUUCCCUGCUUCCCACUGGCUGGCCACUCGGGGUUGCUCUGGGGCCCUGCUCCCGGGCUGGCGGCCUGGUGGACAGGUCCCCUCUGGACACUAGUGUGGCUGGGGUCUGGGGUCGUGUCUUCCCAGCUGGGACUCCUGCCCUGGCAUCUCUGGGUGGGAUGGGGACUAGUUUCAAAGGCAGAUUCUGUCCCCACCCAGGCCCAUGGGGGUGGGCUCCCAGGGGUGGCCGGGAGCUGCAGACUUAGCUGCAUCCAUGCAAGUCUGAAGGCCCGAGUCUGCGACCCCCAUGGGCUCAGCUCAGAGCCCUCCGCAUCCCACUCCCCCGAGCCCAACCCACGCCCUGGUUCAUCUGGCUCAGCCCUGGAGCUUUGAGCCAGGGUGCCCCACACACCCGCCCUCAAGUGCUCUGCCCACCGAGGCGGGGACCCCCACAGGGCAAGGUCCUUCCGUGAGUUUCAGGUCUUGUUCCCAUCUGGUUCUGUCCCUCACCUGAGGGCUCCUGUUUGCCGACAGUGACAGCCCCAUUGGCUGGCGGGGUCUGGUCUGCAGGUGAGAUGCUCGCGGCCAAGUCCCCCAGGUCCCGCCUGCACCUUGAGCUCACAGGUUCAGUGCAGAACUGUGGCCUUGGCAGCCGGAGUCUGGCAAGCCCGAGGCUGGGCGGGACUUGAAGGAACCCUAACAGCUGUGGCCGAAGGGACGCCCUGUCUGGAUGUACCCUGAUUCUGAUCCUCACAACAAGCCCCCGAGCCGGCAGCUCUUCCUCGGCCGCGCAGGCUCCUGGAGCAGAGGCAGGGCCCCGAGACCCAGCUGGUGAGCGGGAGGGCUGCGUGCAGUGCCCCCCUUCCCGAGUUCAUGCUGACCAGCACCCACACACAGCUGGCAGAGGGGGUCUUGGUUGGGUUUUUGUUGUUAAAACAUUGAUUUGGUUUUAUUGUCAUAAGGCACACGGGACAUAGAAUCUACCCUCUGCCCGGUUUUGAGUGUUUGGUUCUCCCACCUGUCGGGGCCGUCCUCCCUGGCCCCCAGGUUUGCCAGGAAGUCCAGGUGCCCACAGGUUUGCAAGAGGAUUCAGGAGAAGUUAGUUGAAGUGACCCCCAGGACACAAGCAGCAGGGGCAGAAAAGUAAGUCCACAGGCCAGGGAGAGACUGACCAGCUGCCUGUCCUGCCCUUUGCUUUGAGCUAGAAGCUCCUGAGUCCUGGGCCCUCGGGAGAAGCAGGUGCUUCUUUGCCUGUGUCCCAUUUGUGGCCAGUGUGUGAGGGCUGGGACCCCACGCAUGUCCCUAGGAGGGUCUCAAAGUGGAAGGGGGGGGCUGUCAGGAGAGCGCUCCUCUUUGCUGUUGGUAAUACAGGGGGGACAGAGAGAUCUGACUUGUGGAUUUCAUAAAUCACAACUGUUUUAGCUCCGAGGGAUGCAGAUUGAUUAAGGUCUGAGCGUCGAGCCCUGUAUGGAUUGGGAGCCCAUCUCUCGUAAGCCCUCUCUUUCCCAGACCCGAGUGUCAGCAGUUUUCCGGGAAAGCAAUCUUUUUAUGUGGCA
Molecule: long non-coding RNA, 4044 nt
Organism: Marmota flaviventris (yellow-bellied marmot)
Lineage: Eukaryota; Metazoa; Chordata; Mammalia; Rodentia; Sciuridae
Source: RefSeq, a predicted model, not a curated record